AGGAGCAGCUACACAUGCAAGUCGAGCGAGAUCUUCGGAUCUAGCGGCGGACGGGUGAGUAACGCGUGGGAACGUACCCUCUUCUGCGGGAUAGCCACUGGAAACGGUGAGUAAUACCGCAUACGCCCUUCGGGGGAAAGAUUUAUCGGAGGAGGAUCGGCCCGCGUUGGAUUAGGUAGUUGGUGGGGUAAUGGCCUACCAAGCCUACGAUCCAUAGCUGGUUUUAGAGGAUGAUCAGCCACACUGGGACUGAGACACGGCCCAGACUCCUACGGGAGGCAGCAGUGGGGAAUCUUAGACAAUGGGCGCAAGCCUGAUCUAGCCAUGCCGCGUGAGUGACGAAGGCCUUAGGGUCGUAAAGCUCUUUCGCCUGUGAUGAUAAUGACAGUAGCAGGUAAAGAAACCCCGGCUAACUCCGUGCCAGCAGCCGCGGUAAUACGGAGGGGGUUAGCGUUGUUCGGAAUUACUGGGCGUAAAGCGCACGUAGGCGGAUUGGAAAGUAUGGGGUGAAAUCCCAGGGCUCAACCCUGGAACGGCCUCAUAAACUUCCAGUCUGGAGUUCGAGAGAGGUGAGUGGAAUUCCGAGUGUAGAGGUGAAAUUCGUAGAUAUUCGGAGGAACACCAGUGGCGAAGGCGGCUCACUGGCUCGAUACUGACGCUGAGGUGCGAAAGUGUGGGGAGCAAACAGGAUUAGAUACCCUGGUAGUCCA
This 710-nucleotide ribosomal RNA is filed under the name Roseovarius sp. RNAcentral describes it as "bacterial SSU rRNA". It matches the Rfam family "Bacterial small subunit ribosomal RNA", at positions 38 to 797 of the family's 1533-position model. Lineage: Bacteria; Pseudomonadati; Pseudomonadota; Alphaproteobacteria; Rhodobacterales; Roseobacteraceae. The record is from RNAcentral.